UGGGCUGGCGGCGUCUUACCAUGCAGUCGAACGAUGAAGCCCAGCUUGCUGGGUGGAUUAGUGGCGAACGGGUGAGUAACACGUGAGUAACCUGCCCUUAACUCUGGGAUAAGCCUGGGAAACUGGGUCUAAUACCGGAUAGGAGCGCCUACCGCAUGGUGGGUGUUGGAAAGAUUUAUCGGUUUUGGAUGGACUCGCGGCCUAUCAGCUUGUUGGUGAGGUAAUGGCUCACCAAGGCGACGACGGGUAGCCGGCCUGAGAGGGUGACCGGCCACACUGGGACUGAGACACGGCCCAGACUCCUACGGGAGGCAGCAGUGGGGAAUAUUGCACAAUGGGCGCAAGCCUGAUGCAGCGACGCCGCGUGAGGGAUGACGGCCUUCGGGUUGUAAACCUCUUUCAGUAGGGAAGAAGCGAAAGUGACGGUACCUGCAGAAGAAGCACCGGCUAACUACGUGCCAGCAGCCGCGGUAAUACGUAGGGUGCGAGCGUUAUCCGGAAUUAUUGGGCGUAAAGAGCUCGUAGGCGGUUUGUCGCGUCUGUCGUGAAAGUCCGGGGCUUAACCCCGGAUCUGCGGUGGGUACGGGCAGACUAGAGUGCAGUAGGGGAGACUGGAAUUCCUGGUGUAGCGGUGGAAUGCGCAGAUAUCAGGAGGAACACCGAUGGCGAAGGCAGGUCUCUGGGCUGUAACUGACGCUGAGGAGCGAAAGCAUGGGGAGCGAACAGGAUUAGAUACCCUGGUAGUCCAUGCCGUAAACGUUGGGCACUAGGUGUGGGGACCAUUCCACGGUUUCCGCGCCGCAGCUAACGCAUUAAGUGCCCCGCCUGGGGAGUACGGCCGCAAGGCUAAAACUCAAAGGAAUUGACGGGGGCCCGCACAAGCGGCGGAGCAUGCGGAUUAAUUCGAUGCAACGCGAAGAACCUUACCAAGGCUUGACAUGUUCUCGAUCGCCGUAGAGAUACGGUUUCCCCUUUGGGGCGGGUUCACAGGUGGUGCAUGGUUGUCGUCAGCUCGUGUCGUGAGAUGUUGGGUUAAGUCCCGCAACGAGCGCAACCCUCGUUCCAUGUUGCCAGCACGUAAUGGUGGGGAACUCAUGGGAAA
Molecule: ribosomal RNA, 1102 nt
Filed under: Micrococcus sp.
Lineage: Bacteria; Bacillati; Actinomycetota; Actinomycetes; Micrococcales; Micrococcaceae
Description: bacterial SSU rRNA
Rfam family: Bacterial small subunit ribosomal RNA
Source: RNAcentral